CAGUGAACUUAAGCCCCAGUAAACGGCGGCCGUAACUAUAACGGUCCUAAGGUAGCGAAAUUCCUUGUCGGGUAAGUUCCGACCCGCACGAAAGGCGUAACGAUUUGGGCACUGUCUCAACAACAGACUCGGUGAAAUUGUAAUUCCGGUGAAGAUGCCGGAUACCUGCGACAGGACGGAAAGACCCCAUGGAGCUUUACUGUAGCUUGACAUUGGGUCUUGGUACUACAUGUACAGGAUAGGUGGGAGGCUUUGAAACCAGGACGCCAGUUUUGGCGGAGCCAUCCUUGGGAUACCACCCUUGUAGUACUGGGACUCUAACCAUAGGCCAUGAAUCUGGUCUUGGGACACUGUCAGGUGGGCAGUUUGACUGGGGCGGUCGCCUCCCAAAAGGUAACGGAGGCGCUCAAAGGUUCUCUCAGUACGGUCGGAAAUCGUACGUAGAGUGUAAAGGCAAAAGAGAGCUUGAUUGCAAGACAUACAGGUCGAGCAAGGAUGAAAAUCGGACUUAGUGAUCCGGUGGUUCUGCGUGGAAGGGCCAUCGCUCAACGGAUAAAAGCUACCCUGGGGAUAACAGGCUUAUCUCCCCCAAGAGUCCACAUCGACGGGGAGGUUUGGCACCUCGAUGUCGGCUCAUCACAUCCUGGGGCUGUAGUAGGUCCCAAGGGUUGGGCUGUUCGCCCAUUAAAGUGGUACGCGAGCUGGGUUCAGAACGUCGUGAGACAGUUCGGUCCCUAUCCGUCGCAGGCGUAGGAAAUUUGAGAAGACCUGUCCUUAGUACGAGAGGACCGGGAUGGACG
This 800-nucleotide ribosomal RNA is filed under the name Clostridioides difficile. RNAcentral describes it as "partial 23S ribosomal RNA". It matches the Rfam family "Bacterial large subunit ribosomal RNA", at positions 1905 to 2703 of the family's 2925-position model. The record is from RNAcentral. Lineage: Bacteria; Bacillati; Bacillota; Clostridia; Peptostreptococcales; Peptostreptococcaceae.